Molecule: non-coding RNA, 84 nt
Organism: Claviceps cyperi
Lineage: Eukaryota; Fungi; Ascomycota; Sordariomycetes; Hypocreales; Clavicipitaceae
Source: the annotation of a GenBank genome assembly
GCCCGGUUAGCUCAAUCGGUAGAGCGUGAGACUCUUACCAGGCAUAAAAUCUCAAGGUUGCGGGUUCGACCCCCGCAUCGGGCU